Molecule: long non-coding RNA, 1453 nt
Organism: Halichondria panicea
Lineage: Eukaryota; Metazoa; Porifera; Demospongiae; Suberitida; Halichondriidae
Exons: 3
Source: RefSeq, a predicted model, not a curated record
ACCCACUAGGAGACAACAAUACCUGCUUCAGAAUUAUCAACAAUCUUCUUUAUAUCGGCCCUAUCAUAGUCACAUUCCAUCUUACCUACAUUGUACACAAUCGACCAAGGUCAAUAAUCAUACACUGUCUGGACAGACAAACCAACAGUGCAAAAAUUUCUGCUAGUCAGAUACAUGACAUUGAUAUUGUGAGAGGAGUAUUCGAACUGGAGAAAUCAUCCGGAAAGAAACAUACAGUAGACUUUGCUUUUAAUACCUUGGAAAAAAUGACUUCCUGCACUUUUUCAGUGUAUUUACACACAAACCGGCUUGGCAAUGGGACAAACUUCCUCAAUCCUAUUUACAAAGUGCGUAUCUAUCAACUGAUAACGAAGCACUUCAUGAGUACUUCCAACCAUCUGAUGACAGUUUUCCCUUUUCAAUUGUGUGUAAUGAAAAUACUGAUGAAAGUACUGAUGAAAGCAAUGUCAUUGAGGAUGCUAUACCAAAACGGGUGAGAUUAUAAAUGUAUAUAAUCAUUUAUAUAUGCCCCCCUAUUUUACACUUAUGUAUAGGUCAGAAGUGUGUCCAUUAAAGCUGCUGGAGAACGAACAAGAAUAACUCUUAAGUCUCUAGAAUCACUGACAUACUUGUGCACGGAUACAACCAGGCUUUUGGACUUAGACACUCAACUCAAAGAUCUACUUCAAAAAUUUAGAGCAGACUUACCUCAAGAGGAACAACUCAUUGUUCGGCCAUCAAUUGUCUCUCGAGCUAUUGGAAUAAAGAGGAAGUAUGCACGGAUCAAAUCCAAAUUAUCCCGUUGCAGUAAAUUGCCGAAGACAAAGCCAAAAAGGAGAAGAAAAGCUGAUAGCAAGUUUCGUAACAGAGUUGGAACUAGAGCUGACCGUUUAGGUAUAAUAUAUGUACCCUUUCAUUUAUUAUAUACAGGAAAGACGAGAUUUGAUUCACACAAACAGUCAAUGAACAGAGAGGAAAGCUCAAAACUACCUCAGCAGACAAUGACUGAUUGUUCCCAGAUAACCUCCAGUCAAGUAGGUAAGUCAAAAGGUGAAGUACCCAGCUGAGUAACGGCCUUAGAGGCAAUAGCAUACUACUCCAUAAAACAUGCUAGUACGGGUUCAUAUGUUGCUUACCAUUAAAUGAAAGGUAGAGGAAGAAAAAGAAGGCGAUGUGGGGACUGCCGUGCUUGUAGAGAACAGCAAGAUUGUGGCACCUGCACCAACUGCAAAGACAAGCAGAAAUUUGGUGGCCCUGGGAGAAAGAAACAGUGUUGUAUCAAAAGAAAAUGUGACGGCUUGAAGCUUGGUAGCAAUGCUACCUAUACCAGGGAUCAAACUACUACCACCCUCUCUGAUCAAACUUCAAUUACCACAACACUCUCUAGCUCUGCUACCAGUACCAGUAGUACUACUACUACAUCUACCCUCACAAAAAUGAGUGCACGUACAUU